Molecule: ribosomal RNA, 540 nt
Filed under: Lodderomyces parapsilosis
Lineage: Eukaryota; Fungi; Ascomycota; Pichiomycetes; Serinales; Debaryomycetaceae
Description: LSU rRNA
Rfam family: Eukaryotic large subunit ribosomal RNA
Source: RNAcentral
AUUUGAAAUCUGGCACUUUCAGUGUCCGAGUUGUAAUUUGAAGAAGGUAUCUUUGGGUCUGGCUCUUGUCUAUGUUUCUUGGAACAGAACGUCACAGAGGGUGAGAAUCCCGUGCGAUGAGAUGUCCCAGACCUAUGUAAAGUUCCUUCGAAGAGUCGAGUUGUUUGGGAAUGCAGCUCUAAGUGGGUGGUAAAUUCCAUCUAAAGCUAAAUAUUGGCGAGAGACCGAUAGCGAACAAGUACAGUGAUGGAAAGAUGAAAAGAACUUUGAAAAGAGAGUGAAAAAGUACGUGAAAUUGUUGAAAGGGAAGGGCUUGAGAUCAGACUUGGUAUUUUGUAUGUUACUCUCUCGGGGGUGGCCUCUACAGUUUACCGGGCCAGCAUCAGUUUGAGCGGUAGGAUAAGUGCAAAGAAAUGUGGCACUGCUUCGGUAGUGUGUUAUAGUCUUUGUCGAUACUGCCAGCUUAGACUGAGGACUGCGGCUUCGGCCUAGGAUGUUGGCAUAAUGAUCUUAAGUCGCCCGUCUUGAAACACGGACCAA